Molecule: ribosomal RNA, 489 nt
Filed under: uncultured bacterium
Lineage: Bacteria
Description: bacterial SSU rRNA
Rfam family: Bacterial small subunit ribosomal RNA
Source: RNAcentral
GAUGAACGCUAGCGGCAGGCUUAAUACAUGCAAGUCGUGGGGCAGCAUGAGUAGCAAUACUUGAUGGCGACCGGCAAACGGGUGAGGAACACGUACACAACCUUCCUUCAAGCGGGGAAUAGCCCAGAGAAAUUUGGAUUAAUACCCCAUAAUAUAUUUGAUAAGGCAUCUUAUUAAUAUUAAAGCUUCGGCACUUGAUGAUGGGUGUGCGGCUGAUUAGAUAGUUGGCGGGGUAACGGCCCACCAAGUCUACGAUCAGUAGCUGAUGUGAGAGCAUGAUCAGCCACACGGGCACUGAGACACGGGCCCGACUCCUACGGGAGGCAGCAGUAAGGAAUAUUGGACAAUGGACGAAAGUCUGAUCCAGCCAUGCCGCGUGAAGGAUUAAGGUCCUCUGGAUUGUAACUUCUUUAUAUGGGACGAAAAAGGGCAUUCUUGUUCACUUGACGGUACCAUAUGAAUAAGCACCGGCUAACUCCGUGCCAGCAG